GCCCCCCUCUCCUGUCCCGCUCCGCCGCUGGGCGCAGCUGACCUACUUUUUCUGCAUUUCUCCCCACACUGCCCCGACGCCUCCCACGCGUGGGACUCGAGGGUUUUUAACCCUUGGGAGCGCAGCGCGGCUCCGCGGUGCCGGCCGGGAGCCGCGGGGAUGCGCCGGGCGCGGAGCGCGGGGAUGCUCGGGAUGGGCUGCCCGGCUGCCUGUGCCCGCAGCACCCCCCGCCGGGCGGCGUGCGGACACGCACCAGCCGCGCUGGACCGCCGCUUCUGUCAGCUCGCCUAUUGCCCUACGCUUCCCCGGGACUGCUGCGACUCGGCUCCCCCUGAUUCUCCACUAUUUCUCCCACCUACGAACCUUUAACAAAACAAAUAAUAACCGUAAUGAAAUAUGAAGCACCUAGAAUUCACAGAAAUGGCGCUGUUUACAGUUCUGCACCAUGCAGCCCCACCUCCCUGCAAGGGACAGGACAUCAAAGCGUUUUGGAGAGGCUCUGCCCUUUGCGGCUCAUGCUCUGGCACCUGGUGUGGGAAAGGCUGUAUGAUUAUGGUGACAAAACACGUCUGACACAGCAUACGCUGAGCACUGGCUUGGUGUGAAGAGCACAUUGUUAACCCAGAGAAUCUGUGGUGUAGAGAGUAAAAACGAUGUUGAAUGAGUGCCACCAAGUGUCUUCUUGAAGAAUAUGAAAGUCCAAGUCUUUAGUGGGAGCAAAAACCAGACUGCACUACCAUUAAGUUCUUUAAUUUUGAGUGAGACAUCACAGAGAAUCAUCAUCACAGUGAAUUCUGUUAGAGUGAGAGGAGUUGCGAUUAUUAUUCCACUUAAGUGCAAGAGCAGACUCUGGAUAAACGUGAAUAUAUGUAGUAGAGGCAGAAAAAAAGAUGAUGCUGGGUAUCCUUCCUGUCUGUCUCUCUGUUCCAUUUUGCUUAUCUUCUGAGUGAGUGCUCAGCGUUGACGCUGGACUGACUGUGUCUGUGCUGUGCUGUGUCAGAUGACGGUAUGAUACACCUUAUCUUUAGCUGGUGUGUGUCACAGGACUUCCUAACAGGCAACAUAUGUUACAGAUCUGGCUGUUAACUCAGUUUUGGCCCUUCUUCUACUAUUGAUCCCAGUGCUGACCAUAUUAAUAGCUGCCAUGGCGGCAAGACUGAGACUUGUGUGUAUGAAUGUCAGAGAUUCAACAGAAGAAAAAAGCUAGGUGUUGUCAAAUAUCCUCCAAGACGGUUUCAUCCUGAAUUCCUGUUCCUGAAGAUUAAAAGUUCCUGAAGGAUCUUUAGAUUUGCUGUUAAUACACAAGAGUGAUUCUAAAGAAGGAAGAUUUGUAUCAGUCUUACAACUUUCUGAACUUUUUUGAUUCAAGAGAUAGAUACCCAAGCGUGUUGAAGCUCCUGCUGCAUUUCUCUAUGCUGUAUGUUGGGGCAAAAGAGUGAUGCCAAAAAGCCAUUUCACGUUCCACACAAGAAUAGCUGCUCCUUGUCAUGCUGGAGUUCAUUGCCUGAAAUUCCAGGCUGCAGCCAGAAAGCACGUCCAAAGCAGCUACACAAAGAGUUGUGGUGGGCGGCAAACUUAGUAUCUCUCCUCAGAAAUGUGAAGUGCCUUUUGUUAUUGUUAAACAGCAGAAGGGGAGUAGACUAGGACAAGGGUUUAGCCAAAGAGACUGUUUAUUGCAGGGUUUUGGUAAUGUACUUAUUUGGACAGAAAUAGUUUAUGUCGUGAAAUGUGCUGAAGCCUGCAUACAGAAAUUGAAUUUUUUUUCCUGGAAUAUAUUUAUUUAUAGAUAAACUGAUCAGUCUGUAGUACAUGGCACCCAUUAAACUUGGAGGAGUGCCAGGGAGCAAAGUGAGCACCAUAUAUUUUGGGGACUCUGGGCAGUGAGCAGGCACAGAGUCCCUGUUUAAUCAGCAGUCCAUUGUAUGUCUCAGGGCUUUCCACAGAAGUUAAUGGGUGAACAGACUUCUGCUGGCACAAUUUUUCCAAUGUAGCACUCUUUGUUCUGCUGUGUUUUAUUAUUUCACUAUAAAUUAACUUAGAAGAGUCAGGUUUACCAUUGUCUGAGCAUGCUGUGAAAAAACUCACCUUUGAAACUGUAUAUUACUCUUCUUUGUGUGAUGAAGGAUGGAACUGCAAAGUACAGUGACAGGCACCAACAUAUUGUCCUUGAAUUAUUUGGAAGGACUUCCACUAUUUGUAUGGGUGGUGUAUAUUUUGUGGUACCUAUUGUGCCCAAAGGGGGCAACUCUCAAGGGAUUUGCUCUCACUACAUGUAAAAUUCGUGCUGUUGAUUUGGUACUCACCAGUAUGCAAGGUUAUCUAGGCACCACUGUGUGGUGUGCUGGAUAACUAGACUGCCCUCUGUGUGUUGGUAGGCAAAACUAAGUGCUAGAUGUAUACAAACAAGGUGAGGAGUACCUUUGGAGGCUCAGAUAAAUCUCUAAGCUUUUGUUUCAUCAAAAUUAACUUUCUAUAACAGAUUGUUAAGUAAUUAGUUGUCCUUUUCCUCUUGUGCCCUUCCCAAGCACAAUAGACAAAGUUAUCAGUAUUCUUGCCAGUAAUUCACCUAUUAUCUCAGUUUAAAAGUAUUUCAUUGUUUCAUGGACAGUUUUUAAUAUACUGGAGAAUGUUCCUGUCAGGCUGUGAUAUCUGGGCAUGAUCUCACCAUUCAUUCAAGAGGAAAAAGAAAAGCUUCUUCUCUGAAAUUGCCAACCUUACUACAGCUUUAAAAGCACUCUUUGGGGAGCUGAAUAAAAGCAAACUAAAAUGUGUUGCUAAGGAACAAAUCCAGAUGCUUCCAGAACUUACCAAAAAAAAAAAAA
Molecule: long non-coding RNA, 2822 nt
Organism: Passer montanus (Eurasian tree sparrow)
Lineage: Eukaryota; Metazoa; Chordata; Aves; Passeriformes; Passeridae
Exons: 2
Source: RefSeq, a predicted model, not a curated record